CAGAGGUCCCAAGCGUUGUUCGGAUUCACUGGGCGUAAAGGGUGCGUAGGUGGCAUGUUAAGUUUGAUGUGAAAGCUCAGGGCUCAACCCUGAAAUGGCAUUGAAUACUAGCGUGCUGGAGGUUUGGAGGGGGGACUGGAAUUCUUGGUGUAGCAGUGAAAUGCGUAGAUAUCAAGAGGAACACCAGUGGCGAAGGCGAGUCCCUGGACAACACCUGACACUGAGGCACGAAAGCCGGGGGAGCAAACAGGAUUAGAUACCCUGGUAGUCCCGGCCCUAAACGGUGCGUGUUUGCUGUAAGAGGAAUCGACUCCUUUUGUGGCGAAGCUAACGCGUUAAACACGCCGCCUGGGGAGUACGGUCGCAAGAUUA
RNAcentral lists this ribosomal RNA (372 nucleotides) under uncultured organism. RNAcentral describes it as "bacterial SSU rRNA". It matches the Rfam family "Bacterial small subunit ribosomal RNA", at positions 526 to 896 of the family's 1533-position model. The record is from RNAcentral.